Molecule: transfer RNA, 66 nt
Filed under: Taenia regis
Lineage: Eukaryota; Metazoa; Platyhelminthes; Cestoda; Cyclophyllidea; Taeniidae
Description: tRNA-Leu (CUN)
Source: RNAcentral
GUAAAGAUGCCAGAAAAUUUACAUGGGGUUAAUUUAGGAUUAAUUUAUGACUGAAGUCUCUUUACU